RNAcentral lists this transfer RNA (806 nucleotides) under Bradyrhizobium canariense. RNAcentral's name for it is "partial miscellaneous RNA". The stretch from base 185 to 258 matches the Rfam family "tRNA". Lineage: Bacteria; Pseudomonadati; Pseudomonadota; Alphaproteobacteria; Hyphomicrobiales; Nitrobacteraceae. The record is from RNAcentral.
AGAUGGUUCUUCAGAAGCUUGCUUCUAUCGAACCGUUUUAGAAACAUCAGUGGCCAACGGUCGUCAGGAUCGUUGAGCUGCAUUGGCGGGAUUUCGCCGUCUUCGUUUCUCUUUCUUCGCGGACGAACACGCGCUGGGGCUGCAACCUUGCAGAAUCCCUGGUCCUUGACUGGAUAUGCGUUAGGGGCUUGUAGCUCAGUUGGUUAGAGCGCGCGCUUGAUAAGCGUGAGGUCGGAAGUUCAAGUCUUCCCAGGCCCACCACACUCAUCGAGUGAGCAUUCGUCUUCUGGUUACGGGGCCAUAGCUCAGCUGGGAGAGCGCGUGCUUUGCAAGCAUGAGGUCGUCGGUUCGAUCCCGUCUGGCUCCACCAGAUGGUUUGAUCACCGGCUGCUCAUACCGUCGUCCGCGAAACAUCACUUCGCACUUACUAGUCCGGAUGGACAGUAAGCUGCGUGAUUUCUGACAUCGUAAAGAGGAGAUCGAUCCGAGUUGGAUCGGGCAACAAGUAAUUGUUGCGCGAUACUUCAUUAUCUCCGGAUCAUUUCGGCGCUCGUGCGUCUUCCAUUGUAGCUCACAAGGCUGCUUUGAAAGACAAGCGAGUUGUAAAUGAUCCUUUUAGCGAAGCUUGACCGCCUCGCUAUCGGAACGAUCUUACGAAGCAAGCUGGUCUUUCUAAUCAUUGUCCGGCUGCAGAUAGCGUUCAUCGAGGGCGCGUGCCGCAAGGUAGUUCUGCAGACAACAUUCUGCCGAGUGUGUGGACAUUGAUAAUGAGAGCAAUCAAGUGCCUAAGGGUGUCGGUGAUGCUG